This 912-nucleotide ribosomal RNA is filed under the name uncultured archaeon. RNAcentral describes it as "bacterial SSU rRNA". It matches the Rfam family "Archaeal small subunit ribosomal RNA", at positions 1 to 922 of the family's 1478-position model. The record is from RNAcentral.
UUCCGGUUGAUCCUGCCGGAGGUCACUGUUAUCAGGGUUCGACUUAGCCAUGCGAGGCGUGAGUCAUUUGGACUCGCCGAACUGCUCAGUAACACGUAGCUAACUUACUCUUAGCUAGAGGAUAAUCCCGAGAAAUUGGGGCUAAUACUCUAUAGCUGUUAAGUGCUGGAAUGCUUUAACAGCAAAAGCUUUUGCGGCUAAGAAUGGGGCUGCGGCCUAUCAUGGCAGUUGUGAGUGUAAAAUACUCACAAACCUAUAACGGGUAGGGGCCAUGAGAGUGGGAGCCUCGAGAUGUUUUCUGAGACAUGAAAACAGGUCCUACGGGACGCAGCAGGCGCGAAAACUUUCCAAUGCCUUAACGGGUGAGAAGGGAACCCUGAGUGGUUAUACAUUGUAUAACCUUUUGUUUUGCCUAAAAAGCAAGACGAAUAAGUGGUGGGUAAGACGGUUGGCAGCCGCCGCGGUAAUACCCGCGCCACGAAUGGUGACCACGAUUAUUGGGUCUAAAGCGUCCGUAGCCGGUUUAGUAAGUUCUUGGUGAAAUCUGUUAGCUAACUAAUAGGCUUGCUGAGAAUACUGCUGAACUUGGGAUCGGGAUAGGGUGAGGGUAUUCCAUGGGUAGGGGUUAAAUCCUUUAAUCCAUGGAGGACCACCGGUGGCGAAGGCGUUCAUCUGGAACGAGUCCGACGGUGAGGGACGAAAGCUAGGGGAGCAAAUGGGAUUAGAUACCCCAGUAGUCCUAGCCGUAAACGAUGCCCGCUUGAUGUUGCAGGCUCUACGGGAGCUUGCAGUGUUGGAGUGUAGAUGUUAAGCGGGCCAUCUGGGGAGUACGGUCGCAAGGCUAAAACUUAAGGGAAUUGGCGGGAGAGCACACAGAGGUGAGACUGCGGUUUAAUUGGACUCAACGCCGGU